CACGUAGGAUGCAAGCGUUAUUCGGAUUUACUGGGCGUAAAGCGCGUGUAGGCGGUUAGGAGAGUUGGAUGUGAAAGCUCCCGGCUUAACUGGGAGAGGUCGUUCAAAACUUCCUGACUAGAGUUUGGUAGAGGAAAAUGGAAUUCCGGGUGUAGUGGUGAAAUGCGUAGAUAUCCGGAGGAACACCAGUGGCGAAAGCGAUUUUCUGGACCGAUACUGACGCUCAGACGCGAAAGCUAGGGUAGCAAACGGG
Molecule: ribosomal RNA, 253 nt
Filed under: uncultured bacterium
Lineage: Bacteria
Description: partial 16S ribosomal RNA
Rfam family: Bacterial small subunit ribosomal RNA
Source: RNAcentral